AUUGAACGCUGGCGGCAGGCCUAACACAUGCAAGUCGAGCGCGAAAGUUCUUCGGAAUGAGUAAAGCGGCUGACGGGUGGGUAAUGCAUGGGAAUCGGCCUGGUAGUGGGGGAGAACGUCUCGAAAGGGGCGCUAAUACGGUAUACGCGCUACGUGGGAAAGGGGGGGAGCUUCGGACGUGUCGGUAGGUGUUGAGGCCAUGUCAGAUUAGCUAGUUGGUGGGGUAAAGGCCUACCAAGGCGACGAUCUGUAACUGGUCUGAGAGGAUGAUCAGUCACACUGGAACUGAGACACGGUCCAGACUCCUACGGGAGGCAGCAGUGGGGAAUAUUGCACAAUGGGCGAAAGCCUGAUCCAGCCAUGCCGCGUGUGUGAAGAAGGCCUUAGGGUUGUAAAGCACUUUCAGUGGGGAGAAAGGCUGUUUACUUAAUCCGUACGCAGAUUGAUGUUACCCACAGAAGAAGCCCCGGCUAACUCCGUG
Molecule: ribosomal RNA, 481 nt
Filed under: uncultured bacterium
Lineage: Bacteria
Description: partial 16S ribosomal RNA
Rfam family: Bacterial small subunit ribosomal RNA
Source: RNAcentral